This 520-nucleotide unclassified non-coding RNA is filed under the name uncultured Glomus. RNAcentral's name for it is "SSU rRNA". It matches the Rfam family "Eukaryotic small subunit ribosomal RNA", at positions 569 to 1091 of the family's 1831-position model. The record is from RNAcentral. Lineage: Eukaryota; Fungi; Glomeromycota; Glomeromycetes; Glomerales; Glomeraceae.
AGCAGCCGCGGUAAUUCCAGCUCCAAUAGCGUAUAUUAAAGUUGUUGCAGUUAAAAAAGCUCGUAGUUGAAUUUCGGGAUCAAUAUGUUGGUCGUGCCUCGGUACGUACUAGCUUAUUGGUUUCUCCUUUCUGAAGAACCAUGAUGUCAUUUAUUUGGUGUCGUGGGGAAUCAGGACUGUUACUUUGAAAAAAUUAGAGUGUUUAAAGCAGGCUCACGCUUGAAUACAUUAGCAUGGAAUAAUGAAAUAGGACGUUUGAUUCUAUUUUGUUGGUUUCUAGGAUCGACGUAAUGAUUAAUAGGGAUAGUUGGGGGCAUUAGUAUUCAAUUGUCAGAGGUGAAAUUCUUGGAUUUAUUGAAGACUAACUACUGCGAAAGCAUUUGCCAAGGAUGUUUUCAUUAAUCAAGAACGAAAGUUAGGGGAUCGAAGACGAUCAGAUACCGUCGUAGUCUUAACCAUAAACUAUGCCGACUAGGGAUCGGAUGAUGUUAAUUUUUAAUGUACUCAUUCGGCGCCUUAA